AUUUAUAUCAAUUCAUUUAGGUACAAACAGAUGGAAAGACAAUGAAAACAAAAUAUUUACAUUAUUAUAUAGAUUCAGUAUCGAUUAUUAUGGAGUACCCUCAAAAAUACUUCUGAAAUAUUAAAUUUUUCGUACGUACUUACAGAUAAGUUCUGUUACAGUUCUUUUUAUAAGAAUAGAUGCUAUGUUAUACAUUUCUGAGCUUAAAUACAUUCAAAAUGAUUUCCUUUUAUAGGCAAAUAUCAAAAUCAAAAUAGCUUUAGUCAAGAGCGCCUUUGAAGCUUCAUCUUACAAAUAAAUAUUUUAAUUGUUGUUGCAAGUGAAGCUACCACCGAUUAAUCGGCUCGGUUGCCGGAUAAAUCGACAAGAAUCUCCGCAUUAACUCUUUUUAAACAAAUAAACUGUAUUUCAUACAAAAUUGGUAAUAUUUUGCAUGAAAUACAUCGUCACUAAGUCCACUUACUUACUAAAAAUUAUUGGUUGAAUCGCUAUCUUGAGUAGUUAGUUAUCUUUAGGAGCUCAUUAAAAAUGGUUAUUAAAACCUCCUUUAUGAAGCUUUACCAAAAAAAAAUCCUUAAAAUUAUAUGUGAGUAUAUAAUGUUAAUGUAACAUUAUAUUACUUAUACAAAUUACUUUUAAAAACAUUGUUUGUAAUUUAAUUAUGUAUUGUCGAUGUUCAAUAACGUUUGAUAGUAUAUUUGAUAUAUGUUUUAAAUUGUUUAAGUAAUAUGUAAUUGUGUUUAUGACAUUGUAAUAAAAGUUUGCAAAGAAAAAUUGUAA
Molecule: unclassified non-coding RNA, 780 nt
Filed under: Melitaea cinxia (Glanville fritillary)
Lineage: Eukaryota; Metazoa; Arthropoda; Insecta; Lepidoptera; Nymphalidae
Description: misc RNA ENSMCXG00005018034.1
Source: RNAcentral